Long non-coding RNA from Eublepharis macularius, 243 nucleotides. RefSeq lists it as uncharacterized. The record is from RefSeq and is a predicted model, not a curated record. The transcript is spliced from 3 exons. NCBI's taxonomy places the organism in Eukaryota, Metazoa, Chordata, Lepidosauria, Squamata, Eublepharidae.
GCGGGCUCUUAAAGGGGCCGCGCAUGUGAUUUUCUGUUUCGGAAGCGCCAGAGAAGGGCGGUUGGACGUGCGAGGCGCGAGGACUGGAAGAAUAUUAAAGAAACAGAAGAGGCCACACCAAUACAGAGUCCAAGAAGAGAAGAAAAAACAAAGGGGAUGAAAAAUAAAAGGUCACUAACUUCAAACCUUCUUCAACAUAAAGCAUUGAGGAUACUGCUGUUUGGCUCUCCAAAGUUCAAGAUG